GGCUGCCUUGUCCAGCGGGGCCCGGGGGAAGAAACGCCCUGCUGGCCUGUGCCCCCCAUGCCUUAAGGGACUGGCAGCUGCCACUCCCUCUCUAGGGAGCUCUGCGUGACCUGUAAGACAGUGGUCUGCCUGCCAGAGAGGCCAGUUCUCAACCAUCCCCACCGAGGUCCCAGGCAUGAGAGCAAAGCCUUCUUGCAUCCCCUAGACCAGGCUAGUGUCCAGCUGAAGGCUGUCAAAGGACCUCAGCUGAUGCCAGGCAUGCCUCCUUCUCUCUGGAAGCCGUUUCUGAUGACACCAGCCCAUUGUAGGUGCGUCUGCUCUGUAUUCCCAUGGGCAUCCUCACCUCACCCACCUGACUGUGCCCGGCUGCUAACUUCUCUGCCACCACCUUACUAGGUCCCCAGAGACGAGGAUCCUGUGUCUGUCUGCCUCAGCAUCGUGCCUUCGACAGAGAGCAUGGUAGUCGUUACAUAAGUAUCUCACGGAAGAGUGAAUGCACAGGCCAGAGUCUGGGAGCCCCUUCCUCGUGGGUGCUGCCUCAGAGCCCCAGCUUCAGGGCUGAAUCUCUUGCUACCAUCAGACCCUUCAGGAAGCAUCACAGUUACCUUCCUCUCCAUCUUCCGAGGCACUCCCUCUGCUCCCAGGACCAGAAGCUCUGGGAGAGUAGAGACCACACGAGUUUCCUUCUGACUUUCCCAGACAUUGCCUGGCACUUUGCAGCAACCCCAUGACUGUUAUCUAAGUCAACUUUUUGACUCAUUCCAACCCCACAGCUACACAGCCACUAGCUGUGUCAUCUUUGGGAAUACAUGUCUUUCUAGUUUCACCUGUGAAAUGAGCUCAAGAGUAACUACUACUCACCAGAAAACACCAUCAAUGACUGGACACCUGUUUUCUUAUAUACCACUAAGAAAACAAACAAACAAACAAAAAAGAAUACUUCCGCAAACCUUUGACUCAAUGUUUUUAAUCUCUUGGAAUUUCAUUUUAUAUUUAAAAUUAUUUUAAAAUCUCUUUGAGAUUUAAUCCAUAUAGAUUUUAUCUCAUGUCACUCUUGCAUGCGUGUGUGCUAAGACGCUUCAGUUGUGUAUGACUCUCUGCGACCCGCUGGACUAUAGCCCACCAGGCUCUUCUAUCCAUGGGAUUCACCAGACAGGAAUACUGGAAUGGGUUGCCAGGCCCUCCUCCAGGGGAUCUUCUCAACC
Molecule: long non-coding RNA, 1205 nt
Organism: Bos taurus (domestic cattle)
Lineage: Eukaryota; Metazoa; Chordata; Mammalia; Artiodactyla; Bovidae
Source: Ensembl